GUAGGAUCCAAUAAUGACAUAUUGGAUGAUGAUGAGGAAGCGAGCAUGUCUAGCGCUAAAACUAGCGAGAUUGAUCCAUUUGACAUUGUCUACUCAAACAUUCCAGACAUCACUCACAUCCUGAAGCUCGACGAAAAUUGCAAACACUGUAAGGCCAGGAAGUUUGAGUCUGAGACUGACGGAUUCUGCUGUCGCAAUGGCCAAAUCCAGCUUAAGCAACCGGAACCAAUCCCAGAGCUUAUGAGGCUAUGGUCCAGCAUGGAUGCAGAUUCUAGA
Molecule: ribosomal RNA, 276 nt
Filed under: Triticum aestivum (bread wheat)
Lineage: Eukaryota; Viridiplantae; Streptophyta; Magnoliopsida; Poales; Poaceae
Description: partial small subunit ribosomal RNA
Source: RNAcentral